UAACUUUAAUUUUGUCUCAGUCAGUUAUAUUCCCAAUAAUGCUCGAUACCAAACCCUGCAGAAUUCACCAGCUUCUAGCAAAAAAUUCAUUUCUUUCUCUCUAAUGCCUUUGCAUGUCAACUAGAGUUUGACUGAUGUUGGUUGGACUAGAUUCCAGGUUGGAGGUUUGCUUUGGGUUCCUAUAUGGGACUGGUGGACUCUCCUGAAUGUGUGGACUUUCUCAGGGCUGUGUAGACCUGCAGGAGGGCAAGUCCAAUUGCUCAGGUAAGUUUCACUUUCUUUAUCUGUCUUAGAACUUUAUUUAUUUAACUUACAAAUUGACGUAUCAUUGUUUAUAACAUUAUAUGUUUCGUGUGUGUAUGUGCUAUA
RNAcentral lists this long non-coding RNA (369 nucleotides) under Bos taurus (domestic cattle). Its description in RNAcentral is "long non-coding RNA NONBTAT019204". Lineage: Eukaryota; Metazoa; Chordata; Mammalia; Artiodactyla; Bovidae. The record is from RNAcentral.